Long non-coding RNA from Apis florea (little honeybee), 7189 nucleotides. The record is from RefSeq and is a predicted model, not a curated record. Lineage: Eukaryota; Metazoa; Arthropoda; Insecta; Hymenoptera; Apidae.
AAUAGAAGAAGUGAUGAUAGCAGAACAUCGAUAAAUUGAUUGUUUGGAAUAUCAGCGAACGUCAGUUGUAUGAUUUUAAGAAAUCAAUUUAUGGAUGAUUAUUUUUUCACGGAUUUACCGGUGCACUCUUUCGUUUAUUUAUUUUUGUUGGAGGUUUUUUUAUUAAUAAAUGAAUAAUUGUCUUAAAUUUGAGGCACUUACGGCACCGAAACUGCUAAUAGAAAGUUCAAUAAUGUUGCCAGCGGUGAUCCUCGUGGUUGAACGGGACAUAGAAAUCAUCAAAGGGAUGGCCAAACUUUUUUUCCACGGCAUUCUAUACCAAUCAAUCAUAUAAGACUUUUCGCCAACUUUCACGGUCUGGCGUGCAUCGCAAGAAGGGCAGCCAAUCCACAAGCGGCAACCGUGAUAUUGUGCGCGACAAACCCAGACAACAACUGUAUUGUGUACAGAAGUUCGUUGGCAGGAGUGCGACGAGCGUCUAGGAGAGCCUUAGGAAAAGGUUGUGAUCAUCGCAGUUGACGAUAACCGCAAGUUUCGCAAUGUAUUUUUCAAGACAAGGAGAAAAUCACAGAACGAGGGAGAAACAUGUUAUUACCGUAUUAUUGUGCGUACGUCAGGGAAAAUAAAGUUUGAUUCUAUAGAAUAGAAGAUUGAAUAUUGGGAAGAAUAUUUCUUUUUUUAAUGACGUGAUUAUCACUCACUUAUGAAGUACUUACGUCACCAAAACUGCUGAUGGAAAGUUCGAUAAUGUUGCCAGCAGUGAUCUUGGUGGUCGAAUGGGACAUCGAGAUCAUCAAUGGUAUAGCAAGACUUUUCUUCCAAGGCAUUCGAUGCCAAUCGAUCAUGUAAGACUUCUCGCCCACCUUCACUGUCUGGAUCCUGAGCAUACUCCAUGCAUGAAGAACUAGCAGAGCAAAAAUGCCGCAGAAGCCGCAGAUAACCGCAUAAAUCGCUAUUCCGGCUAUAAUUUGCAGCACGAACAAUAUUUCGUAAAUCGGCGACUGUUGCUCGUUCAAAAUGAGAAAAUAACUGGGACAAGGAACACGUACAUCAGAGUUGGGAUCAUUAUCAGGAAAAAAAGGAAGUAUGUGAAUAUAUGUUUCGAUCUUUGGAGUACUUUUGAAAAAAAAGAGGUAGAAGGUGAAAUCGGCCAGGCACCGAUCAUUCCCAUAAUCGGUUUCACGAAUCUCGUGGCGUAUUUCAAAUCCUCCUCCGCCUUUGCUAUUCCAGAUAUAUUUUUCAUGACUGAAUGCUUCGAUGUAACUGGUCAUGCGUGUAUAGCAAAACUGGAAUUCGGUUUGGUAUGGAAUAUUGCGCUUGCGUAUAUGGAUUCAGCGUUAAAUUCAUGUCAUUGAAAUCAAUUUUAUGGAAGAGUAAAAAAUUGAUUGAAAUUACUGGUUUCAAUUUUCCACGAAUGAUGCAAGUUAUUCCAUGGACUGAAGUAUUGCGACGAGAAUUUUGUGAUUGAUAUACGAUUCUUGUCUUUGAUAGUUGAAUUAGAUAUUGUGAAAAUAUUUCAAAAAAUUGAAAAAGUAUUAACGAAUAAUUGUUUAUAGAAAAUUUCAUUGGAUUCAAAGAAAAUCGAGAUAUAUAUUUAAAAGUCUGACAAUAUCACAGCGGUUUGUAGUUUCCAAUAAAUGCUGUUUGUAAAGUUUGUACAGAUUACGAACAGUUAUUAUCUGGAUGGAAAUUAAUACAAGUAUGUCAACCAAUUGAUAUUAUUAUUUUGAAUGAAAUUUAAACAUGUGCGAUAUUUGUCAUGAAAGCAUGUAGAAUAAAGUAAAUUAUUAGUAAAUACUUUACUAAUAAGAAAUUGAUGACCAACAUAACACAUCGUUUUAUUCGUAAAAGUAAGACCGAAUUCAGAUGCUUCUAACAAAAGCACAUUCCAUUUGAAAGAUGUAAGAACUUCUCGUUCAUCUUCACUGUUUGGAUCCUCAGCAUACUGCACGCAUGAAGGACCAAUAAUGCGGAAAUACCACAGGUACCACUGAUCACAGCGUAAAUUGCCAUUCCAGCCAUAACUUGUAGCACAAACAAUAUCUCGUAAAUCGGCGAUUGUUGCUCGUUUAUAAGAACGAAAUAACUGGGACAAGGUAACGGUCUAAUAGUAACAUUGUCAGCAGUAAUAAUGGUUCCCUUUAGAAGGGGAAGGAUCGUCCGAUAGCAUAAACCACCGCCAUACAUAGUGAACGCAGCGAUCAAGACAACCCUCCUUCCGAUCUUCGCUUUCGAGCGAAAAAUCAAUCGCUCCUCUUCCGUGGCUUGUAUCCAAUCAUGUCUGAUCGCGUGUAACCCUUCCUGGAUUUUUUUUCUUCGCCAAAGAAUGAUAGAACACGUACAUCAGAGUUGGAAUCAUUAUCAGAAAAAAAAGGAAAUAUGUGAAUAUAUGCCCCAAUCUUUGGAGUACUUUUGAAAAGAAAGAGAUAUAUUUUCCAUGACUGAAUACUUCGAUGUGACUGAUCACGCGCGUAUAGCAAAACAGGAUUCGCUUUGGUAUGGGACGUUGCGCUUGCGUAUGUGGAUUCAACGUUGAAUUCAUAUCAUUGAAACCAAUUUUAUCGAAGAAUAGAAAAUUGGUUGAAAUUACCCGUUUCAACUUUCCGCAAAUGGCGCAAGUUAGUCUAUGGACAGAAGAAAAUUGAGGUACAUAUUUAAAAAUCUGAUAUCACGUUUGCAAUAGUUUGAAGUUUUCAAUAAACGUUGUUUGUAAAGUUUGCGAACAAAUACGAACAGUUAUUAUCUAUGGUAAGUAAAGGGGAACAAAUUACGUUCUACAGUUAUGGUUCAAUUAUUAAAAUUCUGCGUAAAACAUAGAAAGUAACAUGGUAAGGUUUUUUUGUCUGUUUCGAAUGUAAGUUGAAACAAUUUCGUAGUGAAAUACUAAAUGAUUGUUACUCUAAUCGAAUGAUCAUCUUCGUGAGAAAACAAUUUACGCGUAUUAGUAUGGUUCAAGAGUUUUAUCGUAAUAGCAAUUGCAAGAAUUAAUAUCGUAAAAAUUGUGGGAAAAUUAUAUAUAAAUAUUUUACGAUAAUAUAAUUCUUUAAUUCCUAGAAAAAUCGUUUUAAAUUCAAAAAUAUAUUACUAUUUUAUAAAAUAUAACAAUUCAGGUAACUUUUCUUAACAUGUUCAGGUAUCCCAUCGUUGCCUUUAUGAUCUGGAAAAUAAAAUUAGAACGAGGAGAAUUAAUGUAAAAAUUGAAGAAAUCUAAUUUCUCGAUACAUACGUCGGUGAAACCGGUACCAAUCUAUCGUGAUGGACAUUCUUCUUACAUUAUUUCCCUGAAUGAAGUUUAAACGUGUGACACUUUUUAUAAAAGAGUGCAAAAUACGUAACAAAACUCAUAUACUUCAUCAAUGAGAAUUUGGCCAACGUAACACAUCGUGAAAGUGACACCGAAUACAGAUGCUUCUAACAAAAGAUAGAUUAUCGCAGCUGUGGCAUCGCUAUCUUCCCAUUCCUGAAAUAUUACCAGUGGAUCAUUUAUAAAAGAAAAGAAAGAAAUUCUGUCUUUAAAAAAAGUUCAUACCGUGAUAGCGCAGUAUCCAAUCACGCAUCCUAUGCCUGUCUCAUCAAUGAUCUCGAGCAGAAAAAGAUACGUGGUAAUUGAAGUAAGCGUUUGCAAAUCUGACGACUUCGAGUUUGCGAUGAUUUCUAGUUUCCGUCAGACGUUUUUCACUGUCCAUACAGUAUACACGGGUUUACGAACGGUUAUUACCGUGAUAGUAAGUAAAGGGGAACUCUUGUGUUUCAAUUAUUAAAAUUCUACGUAAAACGGGGACAGUAACAUCGAUUUUUAAAAUUAUAUAUAUUAAAAAUAUAAAAUAGCAUUAUUCUAUACUUAAUAUAAAAAUGAUGACUUUUUAAAUGAACGUGAUUUGGAAGAUAUAUUUUAUCAGUGCUGUGGGUAAAAUUAAGCGCAAAAUUAAAAAAAAAGAAAUUACAAAUUGCAUAUGCUGUUUAUGAGGAAAUUUUUAUGUAAAAAUCUUACGAUAAUACUUCAAAUCUUUUAAAAAAAAAAUUUUACCGGUUUCCAAGUUUACAAGUGGACAAUGGCUAAUAUUGACGGCAAAGAUAUUUGACUAUUUUAAAAAAGAUAACAACUUAAGUAACUUUUUGCAACAUGUUCAAAUAUCCUACGGUUGUCUUUAUAAUCUGGAAAAUAAAAUCAGAGCCAUGUACGAGAUAUGAGAAACACAAUUUAAUAUUAUGAUACAUACGUCGGUAAAAGUGGCUAAGGAUAUGUCUACAACUUUUCCUGCUGGAACCGAUACCAAUCUAUCGUGAUGGACAUUCUUCUUACAUUAUUGCCCUGACAAAAAUAAUGGUUAAAACAAAACUUCUGUGGCAACCACGAGAGUACGAGAAACAUUGUAUAUAGUGGCAUACUUCGUCAAUGAGAAUUUGACCGACAUAACACAUUAUGAAUGUGCAACUGACGAUAGAUGCUUGCAUCAUAAGGUGGAUUAUUAUAGCUGCUGUAUUACUGUCUUCCCAUUCCUAAAAUUACAACUAUUGUCAUUACAAGUUUAUAGUAUAAACGGAUAAUCAUUCAUCUAUACCGUAACAACAUUGUAUCCAAUCACGCACCCUAUACUCGUUUCGACCAUGAUCUCGAGAAGAAAAAGGUAACCGUUCACCUGCGGUAUCAUCAUCUUCAUCUUCUUUCUCCCGUUCUUCUCUUUCAAAAAUACGUGCAAAAAUCCUGGAACCAAUACUAUUAAUUGCAACGUGUAACAGGUAAAUAUCAAGUACCAAUUCAGAAUCUUUGAAAGUGUGGAAGAUGAGACGCGGUUUGGCCAUGCGCCCAAUAUUCUCAGAAGUGGAUACGUGAACCACACGGUAUGCCUCAUCCCAUUUUCCGCUUUCCGUACUCGAGACAUUUUAAUGAUCGAUAGAAUGGAACUGUCUAUGUUGUGGCAGAGGACAUCAAUGAUUUCAGGAGAGUUCGUUGCGCUUGCGUGUUAUAAAAAUUUAAAUAUCCGCAAAUAUGAAACGAUUUUAAUGCUUGUGGGGAAUAAAGUUUUGAAUUUUUACAAAAGGAUAAGAAAAUUGGAUGAAAUUACCGCUGCUCGCGAUGCAUGCUCCCUAUGAGAGAAAUUUUAUAGUAUCUGCUAUUUCUUUUUCUAAAAGCGGUUUUAGAAAAGUUCACCAACAAUAAGCAUAUGUAUAAUUAUAUACCUUGAAUAUAUAUGAAAAUUAAUAAUUCGUCAUAAAGAAUAUUUCACAUAUACACAUAUGAUAAAAAGCAUAUCAAAGUAUUAUGAAUAUGAAAUGUACUUGUGGUGAAAUUAAACAUGUAAAUUUUCACAAAGUUACGAUUUUCCGGAAAAAUUUUUUUAUUAGUUGCAAAGUUUACUGAACCAUAAUUACUGGAAUGGUAGAAGUAAAUGUGAAAGGGUUCUAUACGCGAGGGGAAAGUUACACGCAAAGUUCUGUAAAAAAAGUAGAAGAAAAUAAAAAUAUGACAAUAAUAAUGAAAAUUAUCUCAGUCGACUGCUUUCUGUUGUAUCGCAUGUAUUUGUUCCAAAAAAUGAGCUUAAACAACUGUUCGUAAUAUGUUCAAAUAUCCUACAGAUGUCUUUACGAUCUGGAAAAUAUAAUUAGAAUAAUGUAUGAAGAGGAUAAAGAAAAUUUAAUAUAAAUACAUACAUCGGUGAACGUGAUCAACGAUAUGUCUACAAUUUUGCCAGCUGUGACUUUUAUUGGAUAAUUCGACAUAAUAAUAAUCAGUAUCAAGCCACGCGCUUCAUUCACAGGAUCGUGUACCGUGAUAAGGCAGUAUCCGAUCACGCAAGCUCCACACACGUAUUCGAGAAUUUCGCAAAAAUAAAGAUAAGACGUGAGCUGUUCGACGUGAUUUAAAAAGCUGAAAUGAGAUUUCAUGCACUCCAUAAAUGCGAACAUACAAUCUCUCCCCAUAUAUCAAACCUUUUUUUAUCGAGCAUUUCUAUACUCACUCUAUAAUCUUCAUCUGAUACUCAACAAUAUCCGCGAGCUUCUUACGCACAACUGUCUCGCAAUCAUCAGACUGACAGGUAAGAUCGUUCAUCUUGUUUAUUAAUAUCUUCAAUAAACUGCACGUGUGUAGACAAAGCAUCGUACUAAUUCCCGUAGUACCGCACAGAGUAGUAUAGUUGAGAAAUCCACCGAGAACUUGGAUGAUAAAAAUAAUCUCGUAAUUCGGUGUAACUUGUUCGUUGAAGAACAUGUAGUAACCGGGACAGGGUAGCAAUCUUACAGUCGUGUUGUCCGGUAGAAGAAUUCUUCCUUUCAAGAAUGGAAGAAUCAUCCGAUAACCGACACCAGAAGUGUACAUAGUGAUCGCUAUUGCUAUCAUCAUCUUGUGUCCUAUGCACGCCCUUGUGGUGAAAAUCCACAUAUUUUUGUCGGUGGCCAACGAGUAAUCUCUCCUCACCUCUUUUAAUAUUAUAUUAAAUUCCUUUAUUUGUCGUAGGAGAAUCGUAUACUUGCACACUUGCGUGAUACCGUUCAUAUGCGGGACAAACAUUUUAAUUUUCCCGCUCAAAUUCGCUUCUUUCAAAAAAAUGUACAAAAUCCCUGGGAUCAGGACCAUCAAUUGAAUGAGAUAACAGGGUACUGUAUCGUUUGCGAAGUUUGCGUCUCUGUUGCGAUAAAUAUAAAAUAAAUACAAAGGGUGAAAUGCUGAAGGAACAAAAUUGUACAAUUUUCUCGUAAUUGCAGUUUAAAUUUUGAUUUGAAAGGAAAGUGAACAAAGUGCUGUGUACUACAUAGUAAUAUCAUUUUUGGCUAACGUAUCGUAUAGUAGAUUUCAUUGUAGUUUUCUAACAACAAACGUACGAUUUUAAGUAACUUGUUGUAAUAUAUUCAUAUAUCCCACUGAACUUUUAAUGAUCUAAAAAGUAAGUAACAAAAAAUAUAUAAAAAAAAAAAAUAAUAAUAACACGAGUCCAAAGUUUUGAUACUUACACUAGUAAAAGUGACUAAGGACACAUCUACAAUUCUUCCUGCUGUUACUUUUAUUGGAUAAUUCGACAUAAUGAUUAAUAAUACCAAGCUGCGCGCCUUUUUCACAGGUAAUCGAUACCAAUUCAAUGUGCUGCAUGCUUGUCUAACAUUCUCGCUCUAUUGAAAAUAAAAUUUCUCAUAAAUAUCCUAACAGUUGAGCAAUAUUUGAUUUAUUUUUAUCCAUAAAUAAUAAUAAAAA